GACGAACGCUGGCGGCGUGCUUAACACAUGCAAGUCGAACGGAAAGGCCCUGCUUUCGUGGGGUGCUCGAGUGGCGAACGGGUGUGUAACACGUGAGUAACCUGCCCUUGACUUUGGGAUAACUUCAGGAAACUGGGGAUAAUACCGGAUAGGAGCUCCUGCUGCAUGGUGGUGGUUGGAAAGUUCGGGCGGUGGGGGAUGGACUCGCGGCUUACCAGCUUGUUGGUGGGGUAGUGGCCUACCAAGGCUUUGACGGGUAGCCGGCCUGAGAGGGUGGACGGCGACAUGGGGACUGAGAUACGGCCCAGACUGCUACGGGAGGCAGAAGUGGGGAAUAUGGCACAAUGGGCGGAAGCGUGAGGCAGAGACGCCGCGUGGGGGAUGCCGGCCUUCGGGUUGUAAACGGCUUUAGCCGGUGACGAAGCGUUUGUGACGGUACCUAGAUAAGAAGCACCGGCUAACUACGUG
Molecule: ribosomal RNA, 468 nt
Filed under: uncultured bacterium
Lineage: Bacteria
Description: partial 16S ribosomal RNA
Rfam family: Bacterial small subunit ribosomal RNA
Source: RNAcentral